Molecule: unclassified non-coding RNA, 673 nt
Filed under: Hevea brasiliensis (rubber tree)
Lineage: Eukaryota; Viridiplantae; Streptophyta; Magnoliopsida; Malpighiales; Euphorbiaceae
Source: RNAcentral
GGAAACCCUCCCUUGCAACCGAAACCUAUAUGCACAUGAAAAGUAAAAAAAGGAAACAUUUCUUAGAAGGAUCGUUCAUGAAAGUUGAUGGCUUCACCCCAUUUAAGCAAAUCGUGUACUCUAAGAAAGGAACAAGGCAAAAAUCGACUAAUGGAGAAGCUUUAGCUUUUCCCUUUUCCAUGCAUCACAGACUUGAGCGAAUUAGUUCACAUAGCCUUUUCACAGAGGACCACUGAUUGAUAGGUUCUGUGUCGUUUUGUAACCAUUUCUUUUAAUCCCAAUCGAUUACAUUCAUUAAAACUAUAAUAUAGAGUUGACACCUUAACUGUCAAUAUGGAUCACAUAAUGAUAAACUACAUAUUUAUCAUUAUCUAGUAUCUACAAUACACCUAAACAUUAGCUUCAACUUGUUAGUUACAGGAUUCAAAUGCUCAUGCGUGAACUAUCGAUGUAGGAUAACAUUUAUAGGCCAUGUAAAUUUUUAAGCAAUGGAAUUUUUUGUCAACGGUUUAGAAAGGAAAGGCAAAAACACAGAAGGCCAAAGGGUAGUAAUAAAGCACAUAUAUGCAAAUAAUUAAGUUCCCAUUAUCAUAGAGCUAGCUUAGCUUUACUUGUAAUAUUAAAUAAAAUAUAUAUUAUAUCUAUUAUUACAAUAAAAUUAUUUUUUCAUUAA